AGAGUUUGAUCAUGGCUCAGGAUGAACGCUAGCGGCAGGCUUAACACAUGCAAGUCGAGGGGUAUAGGUUUUCGGACCUAGAGACCGGCGCACGGGUGCGUAACGCGUAUGCAAUCUACCUUUUACAGAGGGAUAGCCCAGAGAAAUUUGGAUUAAUACCUCAUAGUAUAGCUGAACCGCAUGGUUCUACUAUUAAAGUCACAACGGUAAAAGAUGAGCAUGCGUCCCAUUAGCUUGUUGGUAAGGUAACGGCUUACCAAGGCUACGAUGGGUAGGGGUCCUGAGAGGGAGAUCCCCCACACUGGUACUGAGACACGGACCAGACUCCUACGGGAGGCAGCAGUGAGGAAUAUUGGUCAAUGGACGCAAGUCUGAACCAGCCAUGCCGCGUGCAGGAUGACGGUCCUAUGGAUUGUAAACUGCUUUUGCACAGGAAGAAACAACUCUACGUGUAGAGUCUUGACGGUACUGUGAGAAUAAGGAUCGGCUAACUCCGUGCCAGCAGCCGCGGUAAUACGGAGGAUCCAAGCGUUAUCCGGAAUCAUUGGGUUUAAAGGGUCCGUAGGCGGUUUAGUAAGUCAGUGGUGAAAGCCCAUCGCUCAACGGUGGAACGGCCAUUGAUACUGCUAGACUUGAAUUAUUAGGAAGUAACUAGAAUAUGUAGUGUAGCGGUGAAAUGCUUAGAGAUUACAUGGAAUACCAAUUGCGAAGGCAGGUUACUACUAAUGGAUUGACGCUGAUGGACGAAAGCGUGGGUAGCGAACAGGAUUAGAUACCCUGGUAGUCCACGCCGUAAACGAUGGAUACUAGCUGUUGGAAGCAAUUUCAGUGGCUAAGCGAAAGUGAUAAGUAUCCCACCUGGGGAGUACGUUCGCAAGAAUGAAACUCAAAGGAAUUGACGGGGGCCCGCACAAGCGGUGGAGCAUGUGGUUCAAUUCGAUGAUACGCGAGGAACCUUACCAAGGCUUAAAUGUAGAUUGACCGGUUUGGAAACAGACUUUUCGCAAGACAAUUUACAAGGUGCUGCAUGGUUGUCGUCAGCUCGUGCCGUGAGGUGUCAGGUUAAGUCCUAUAACGAGCGCAACCCCUGUUGUUAGUUGCCAGCGAGUCAUGUCGGGAACUCUAACAAGACUGCCAGUGUAAACUGUGAGGAAGGUGGGGAUGACGUCAAAUCAUCACGGCCCUUACGCCUUGGGCUACACACGUGCUACAAUGGCCGGUACAGAGAGCAGCCACUGGGCGACCAGGAGCGAAUCUAUAAAACCGGUCACAGUUCGGAUCGGAGUCUGCAACUCGACUCCGUGAAGCUGGAAUCGCUAGUAUUCGGAUAUCAGCCAUGAUCCGGUGAAUACGUUCCCGGGCCUUGUACACACCGCCCGUCAAGCCAUGGAAGCUGGGGGUGCCUGAAGUCGGUGACCGCAAGGAGCUGCCUAGGGUAAAACUGGUAACUAGGGCUAAGUCGUAACAAGGUA
RNAcentral lists this ribosomal RNA (1472 nucleotides) under metagenome. RNAcentral describes it as "bacterial SSU rRNA". It matches the Rfam family "Bacterial small subunit ribosomal RNA". The record is from RNAcentral.